Molecule: ribosomal RNA, 253 nt
Filed under: uncultured bacterium
Lineage: Bacteria
Description: partial 16S ribosomal RNA
Rfam family: Bacterial small subunit ribosomal RNA
Source: RNAcentral
UACGUAGGUCGCGAGCGUUGUCCGGAUUUACUGGGCGUAAAGGGCUUGUAGGCGGUCCGUUAAGUCCGCUGUGAAAUCUCCCGGCUCAACUGGGAGAGGUCAUUGGAUACUGGCGGACUAGAGGGGGGUAGAGGAAAGCAGAAUUCCUGGUGUAGCGGUGAAAUGCGUAGAUAUCAGGAGGAAUACCAGUGGCGAAGGCGGCUUUCUGGGCCUACCCUGACGCUGAGGAGCGAAAGCGUGGGGAGCAAACCGG